GCCAAGAGCUCGAGCCGGAGCCUCCCGGCGGCUCCUCCGCCCGCCCCGCUCGCCGCUGCUGCUGCCUCCUCCUGCGGGCACGAUGCAGUUUAUGUUGCUUUUUAGUCGUCAGGGGAAGCUGAGACUUCAGAAGUGGUAUGUCCCGUUGUCUGACAAAGAGAAGAAGAAAAUCACAAGGGAACUUGUUCAGACAGUGCUGGCCCGUAAACCGAAAAUGUGCAGCUUCCUGGAGUGGAGAGACCUGAAGAUUGUUUACAAAAGAUAUGCAAGCCUUUAUUUCUGCUGUGCUAUUGAAGAUCAGGACAAUGAACUGAUAACCCUGGAAAUAAUUCAUCGUUAUGUGGAACUACUUGACAAGUAUUUUGGCAGUGUGUGUGAACUUGAUAUCAUCUUCAAUUUUGAAAAGGCUUAUUUUAUUCUGGAUGAGUUCCUGUUGGGAGGGGAAGUUCAGGAGACCUCCAAGAAAAACGUUCUCAAAGCCAUUGAGCAGGCAGAUCUGUUACAGGAGAGCCAGAAUGAAGACUGGGGAGGUUUGUCUGAGGAUAUCUUAUGAUUAAGAGCAGUCUAAGGCUUUAGCCCUUUUGACCCCCCUCUAAAUUGGCCCCUAAGAGAGGAAUACAUUGUGGCAGUGUUACAAAGAAAAGCCACGUCAUGAAUACUUUAAUGUCCCAGUGUACUAAAUGACUUCAUUCAUCAUGCAUGCAGCAUUUCAGAGAGGAGAUAGACCUGACUUAUUCAUGGCAGAACCUUAUCCUCAGCUUGGUGAAAUCAAUCAUCUUGAACACAAUAGACUAUACCACAACCAUUAUCUUUGCUGUUGUACUUUCCUUCACCCCUUCUGUUUGUAUAUUCUCAUGUCUCAUCUUGAUAUAACUUGUUCCUGUCAGCAUAUGAUCUCUUACUGUGUGAAAAAUUCCAAGUCUUAUGUUCAACGUUUGUGUGGAAGUCAUUCAUUUGAAUAAGUACAUACUGUGUAACAUUACUUAAUCUUUUAAAUAUUUCAGCUGUGGUGUUACUUGAAAAUACAUAUAAAAUUGUAGUAUACAUCAGAAGUUUAUACAGAGAAACUAGUGAUCCCAUGGAAUAGUAUAAGGCUUAUCUUUUUAAAGUGUGUAUAGAAUAUAUACAUACAUAUGUAUAAGCUUUAUGUAUAGUUGUAAAACUGCAUACAUCUCUAAUGAAAAAUGCAAAAGUAAAAUGCAUUUUUCUCUACCUUUACUUUUAAUUUCUUUUGAAAGUAUUUGUUGGGGUAGUGGUGAUUUACUGUUUGUUAUGUAUAGAGGUAGCGGGGAGAAAUUGUUAUGCCUGAUCGUUGGCAUUUAAGCUAGAUAAUGUUUUUGUAAUAUCACAAAAUCUCAGAAUUCUAACAUUCUGAUUUGUGUUUAAAGGUUGAAAACACUUGAGCAUUUGUCCUCCUUUUAUCGUAGUAAUGAUUAAAAUUGUUACCCAAGUACAUUCCUUUGCAACCUAAUACUUCAGAGUUGUAACAUUUUGCUUUUAAUAUUCAGUCAUUAAUAGCAUAUUAAAAUCUUAAUGCUCAUUAAUCAGUAUUUGUAGUUUGAAAUAAGAUGUAUUGAAUCACAAAAGGAAGACUGCUACUUUAAAGAUUUCUAUUAAAAUAACUAUCCUGAGUGUUAUGCAGAUCCAAGAUGAAGACAUAUACUUCACCCUAUAUUGUCCACUAAAAGUGAAUGUUGUUGCAUUUAUAUAGAGCUGGUUUAUCUUUAAGGCAAAGAUUACAUUCAUUUAAAUAGAAAGGAACUGGUUAAAUAAAUCGACCACAAACAGUUUAAAAUUUCAAAAGUAUUUUUAUGUACUACAUUUUAAAUGUCUAUCUGACUUUAAAAAAAUUGGGGGACAUGAAAGGGGAAUUUUUGGAUUUAAUUUGCAGCAUUCUGGGAUAUGUUAUAGAAAACUAGAUCAUAGGGAUGGUUUUCCAUUUCCAAGUUUGUUACUCUUUUUUGUAAGACAUUAACAGUUUGUGUGAACAUGUGCAGUUGGUUAAUGCUACUUUAAUCUGCAUUCUCUCAUGACUGUUGGCUUAAAAUGCUAUGCAUUGAGCUGUAAUGAGAUGCUGUUUCUCUUGUUAUCUGUAUACAGCUGCUUGCUUUUAAAUGACUAGAUAAUGAAUUAGCUUCCUGGCAUGUCUGAAAUAAAGUAUUACAUGCAUUUCUGUCUCAUGUGAAUGGCUUUUUUCUCAACUCUUGGUUCUGGUAUUUUAAAUGUGUAUUUGUUACCUCUGUUAAAU
This is an RNA transcript of Terrapene triunguis (Three-toed box turtle), 2248 nucleotides long. It is a transcript of the gene named adaptor related protein complex 1 subunit sigma 2, with no coding region annotated. The transcript is spliced from 7 exons. Lineage: Eukaryota; Metazoa; Chordata; Testudines; Emydidae. The record is from RefSeq and is a predicted model, not a curated record.